This 254-nucleotide ribosomal RNA is filed under the name uncultured bacterium. RNAcentral's name for it is "partial 16S ribosomal RNA". It matches the Rfam family "Bacterial small subunit ribosomal RNA", at positions 524 to 776 of the family's 1533-position model. The record is from RNAcentral.
UACGUAGGGGGCAAGCGUUGUCCGGAUUUAUUGGGCGUAAAGAGCUCGUAGGCGGCUUGGCAAGUCGGGUGUGAAAACUUCAGGCUCAACCUGGAGCGGCCACUCGAUACUGCUAUGGCUUGAGUCCGGCAGGGGAGACUGGAAUUCCUGGUGUAGCGGUGAAAUGCGCAGAUAUCAGGAGGAACACCGGUGGCGAAGGCGGGUCUCUGGGCCGAUACUGACGCUGAGGAGCGAAAGCGUGGGGAGCGAACAGG